GGCGAACGCUGGCGGCGUGCCUAAUACAUGCAAGUCGAGCGCAGGAAAUCGACGGAACCCUCCGGGGGGAAGUCGACGGAAUGAGCGGCGGACGGGUGAGUAACACGUAAAGAACCUGCCCUCAGGUCUGGGAUAACCACGAGAAAUCGGGGCUAAUACCGGAUGGGUCAUCGGACCGCAUGGUCCGAGGAUGAAAGGCGCUUCGGCGUCGCCUGGGGAUGGCUUUGCGGUGCAUUAGCUAGUUGGUGGGGUAAUGGCCCACCAAGGCGACGAUGCAUAGCCGACCUGAGAGGGGGAUCGGGCACACUGGGGCUGAGACACGGCCCAGACUCCUACGGGAGGCAGCAGUAGGGAAUCUUCCACAAUGGACGAAAGUCUGAUGGAGCAACGCCGCGUGAACGAUGAAGGCCUUCGGGUCGUAAAGUUCUGUUGUAAGGGAAGAACAAGUGCCGCAGGCAAUGGCGGCACCUUGACGGUACCUUGCGAGAAAGCCACGGCUAACUACGUGCCAGCCGCCGCCGUAA
This 524-nucleotide ribosomal RNA is filed under the name uncultured bacterium. RNAcentral describes it as "partial 16S ribosomal RNA". It matches the Rfam family "Bacterial small subunit ribosomal RNA", at positions 28 to 523 of the family's 1533-position model. The record is from RNAcentral.